This 510-nucleotide ribosomal RNA is filed under the name Glomus sp. Glo1B. RNAcentral describes it as "SSU rRNA". It matches the Rfam family "Eukaryotic small subunit ribosomal RNA", at positions 569 to 1078 of the family's 1831-position model. The record is from RNAcentral. Lineage: Eukaryota; Fungi; Glomeromycota; Glomeromycetes; Glomerales; Glomeraceae.
AGCAGCCGCGGUAAUUCCAGCUCCAAUAGCGUAUAUUAAAGUUGUUGCAGUUAAAAAGCUCGUAGUUGAAUUUCGGGAUCAAUAUUUCGGUCAUGCCGUUGGUAUGCACUGUUAUCAUUGAUUUCUCACCUUCUAAAGAACCGUAAUGCCAUUAAUUUGGUGUUACGGGGAAUUAGGACUGUUACCUUGAAAAAAUUAGAGUGUUUAAAGCAGGCUCACGCUUGAAUACAUUAGCAUGGAAUAAUGAAAUAGGACAUCCGAUUCUAUUUUGUUGGUUUCUAGGAUCGAUGUAAUGAUUAAUAGGGAUAGUUGGGGGCAUUAGUAUUCAAUUGUCAGAGGUGAAAUUCUUGGAUUUAUUGAAGACUAACUACUGCGAAAGCAUUUGCCAAGGAUGUUUUCAUUAAUCAAGAACGAAAGUUAGGGGAUCGAAGACGAUCAGAUACCGUCGUAGUCUUAACCAUAAACUAUGCCGACUAGGGAUCGGAUGAUGUUAAUUUUUUAAUGACUACA